CAGCCUGUCCUUGGUGCACUUCCGUGGGCAUUGUGGGGUUUUCUCCCCGAGAAGCUUUCUCAGAAGUUUGUCACAAGACCCUUUGCGUAUAUCAGAAUACAUAUAUACAAGGGUAUAUAUAUAUAGACGAGUGAGCCUUGCAAGUAGAACUGGAGUCAUGAGCUUCAAGGAGAGCAGUUGUUCCACCUCGCAGGAGAAAACUGACAUGUUUGUCACCUCAUUAGAUGUUUUUAGCAGGCGAGCAUACUUUGACCCAUAUACAACUCACACUGACGUUGAUGUGCUUCCCGCUAUUCCGAAUUUGGCAAAGGCACAGAUCGGCAAAUCGCCUGUGUGUGUUGGGUUUCAUAACGCGCGUAAAUUAGAUGGUGGCGCCGAGCAAAGCGUUACUGCCGAUGAAUCCGCGGUCUCGAAAGUAAAGCGUUUUUCUACACCCAGCGCUUUCACUGCUGCAAAUUCGGUAGUUGAUUUUCUAAAGGAAAAUCUGGGAGGAGUCGUGCUUCCAGAAGAUGGAAUAGGCAGGGACGUGUUGUUUGAGAGACGUCGGUCUUUCUUCGACUCCCUCUUUACCAUAGAGGAAGAUGUGCGAACUGCUCUUCCGUGUCGAUUCUCUACCAACAAGGUUGAUAGCAUAUUUCGCAGCGCCGCCGACGAGACCCUGAGCUCGACAGAGUCAUAUAGAAAGCGGCUAGCCGCGCUUGAACAACUUCGGACUACACUGGACUGCUGAGGAUGGAUCCUUUACCUCUACCAACUGUAAAGAAGAGAGGCGAAGGGGGCAGAACGCUUUUUUUCUUGAGGUAGGCUGCACGGUGCCUUCGCCGUAUUUUGCAUGGCGCAUCAUACGACAGUUCUUUUCAAGGGGGCUUAUACUCU
RNAcentral lists this unclassified non-coding RNA (876 nucleotides) under Leishmania donovani. RNAcentral's name for it is "gene:LdHU3.28.1000(CDS-product:hypothetical_prote in_conserved)". Lineage: Eukaryota; Euglenozoa; Kinetoplastea; Trypanosomatida; Trypanosomatidae. The record is from RNAcentral.